This 485-nucleotide long non-coding RNA is filed under the name Lathyrus oleraceus (garden pea). RNAcentral describes it as "Pisum sativum (pea) long non-coding RNA (PSAT_LNC013443)". The record is from RNAcentral. Lineage: Eukaryota; Viridiplantae; Streptophyta; Magnoliopsida; Fabales; Fabaceae.
UUAGUUUAGAUUUGAACACUCCUACAUCUAACAAAUUUGUUAUUAGAAUUUAGAGGUUUUAAACUUUGUAUGAACCUAAUUACACGUCUAAUGACUUAGUCACUUAAACAUAAUUGUUUUGAUCUUCUAAUUUACAUAGUUACACAACUAAUGACUUAGUUACAUAAUUUAGUUUCGUAGAUUGGAUCAUCCUAAUUACAAGUCUAACGUCUUAGUUACUAGAAUCCAGAGGUUCCAAACUUUAAAUCAACUUAACAACAUAAAUAAUCACUUGUUGACUUGCAUUAAUUUUUUUUACAGGUUUUUUGACGUGUUUUUGAUUAGACUCAAUCAUUAAUUUGUUGAACUUGAUUGAUGAAUCCAUUGAGUUGAACUUAAUCUCAAAAAUUAAACUCAUAAAAUAAAUUAGUUGAACUUGAACUAUGAACACUACAAAAAAAGUGUGUUAGAGCUUCAACCUUUAUAAUGGAAGGCGUUCAACUUGA